CUCCAGUCUCGCUCGCUCUCAGGUGUGGCGCUCGGCUUGCAUUGCGUGCGUUGAGUGCAUUGCGUGUUCUGAAGUCCCUAUGUGCUAAAUAAAAACGUUUACGAGUGCUAAUUGACCUUUAUGCCAUACUGAUCCACGCAAACACCAGGAUUGGAAAAGUUUUUGACGAGAGAAAAGUGAUCUGAACAUUAAGAACACUGCAACGUUUUUUUGGGCGAGGAGAGCAUGGCGGGCGUGGCGUGGGCUUAUGGGCGUGAUCCUGCAGUGCUCUAUAACUUAUCCAUAGCCUUAAACGACCCGCCCACGCACACGCACGCACGCACGCACGCUAAAAUCCCAACACAGCAUAAAACAGUAAUUAAAGUGAGGAAG
Portunus trituberculatus (swimming crab) is the source of this 372-nucleotide long non-coding RNA. RefSeq lists it as uncharacterized. The transcript has 2 exons. Lineage: Eukaryota; Metazoa; Arthropoda; Malacostraca; Decapoda; Portunidae. The record is from RefSeq and is a predicted model, not a curated record.